RNAcentral lists this long non-coding RNA (411 nucleotides) under Bos mutus (wild yak). RNAcentral describes it as "lncRNA (ENSBMUG00000026376.1)". Lineage: Eukaryota; Metazoa; Chordata; Mammalia; Artiodactyla; Bovidae. The record is from RNAcentral.
CUGACACCAGGGCACAGAAAAACACAGAGGCAGCCUGGGUCCCUCCUUCUGGAGUGGUCAGUGGACCUCCCUGACCUCCCCAGCACCCUAGUCCAGAUGAGAAGGCUGCUUUCUUUCUGCCACCCCAGGGAGGAGCAGGCCUGAGGUUGUGCCUGUGUCGUCUGGAGCAGAAGUUUGUGCAGAGGCAGGUAAAUGGGAAGGAGACCCACCAACCAGUAGGCUGCAGCCCAGAGGAACGAGGCGCAGAAGCACCGCCUCAGGCUUCAGAAGCUGUGGGAGUCCAGGAAGUAGAAAUGAAGAAGCUGGUGUGCUCUGGAGUCUGAGAUUUCUGCCCUGGGAAUCAGAAUUCGGGGGCACCAGGUAGGGAAUCUCUGUCAACUCUGGAGACAACACCUUUCAGAACAGGGACCC